CUUCUGCUCUCGCGUCCGUCACGCAGUCUUCUUAGAGGGACAAGCGGCGUCCAGCCGCGUGACAGUGAGCAAUAACAGGUCUGUGAUGCCCUUAGAUGUCCUGGGCCGCACGCGCGCUACACUGAAGGAAUCAGCGUGUUUCACUCUCCCUGUCCGAAAGGACCGGGUAACCGCUGAACCUCCUUCGUGGUUGGGAUUGGGGACUGCAAUGAUCCCCAUGAACCAGGAAUCCCUAGUAGGCGCGGGUCACUAGCCCGCGUCGAUUACGUCCCUGCCCUUUGUACACACCGCCCGUCGCUACUACCGAUUGAAUGAUUUAGUGAGGCCUUCGGACGGGCUUGUCGGGGUGCCGUCGAGUGGGGAGCAAUCUCUGCCCGUGCGGUGCCUACCAACGGCGAGACUGAAAGAUGGUCGAACUUGAUCCUUUAGAGGAAGUAAAAGUCGUAACAAGGUUUCCGUAGGUGAACCUGCGGAAGGAUCAUAA
RNAcentral lists this non-coding RNA (484 nucleotides) under Daphnia pulex (common water flea). RNAcentral describes it as "Eukaryotic small subunit ribosomal RNA". It matches the Rfam family "Eukaryotic small subunit ribosomal RNA", at positions 1380 to 1831 of the family's 1831-position model. Lineage: Eukaryota; Metazoa; Arthropoda; Branchiopoda; Diplostraca; Daphniidae. The record is from Rfam by way of RNAcentral.